Molecule: ribosomal RNA, 457 nt
Filed under: uncultured bacterium
Lineage: Bacteria
Description: partial 16S ribosomal RNA
Rfam family: Bacterial small subunit ribosomal RNA
Source: RNAcentral
CCUAGGAGGAUGCAGGGAGGAAGAUGGGUCAAGGGGUGCGAGCCUGAACCAGCGAAGUAGCGGGAGGGAAGAUGGGCCUAUGGAUUGUAAACCUCUUUUGUCGGGGAGCAAAAGACGCCACGCGUGGCGUUCCGAGAGUACCCGAAGAAAAAGCAUCGGCUAACUCCGUGCCAGCAGCCGCGGUAAUACGGAGGAUGCGAGCGUUAUCCGGAUUUAUUGGGGUUAAAGGGUGCGCAGGCGGCGAGUUAAGUCAGCGGUAAAAUUUCGGGGCUCAACCCCGACGAGCCGUUGAAACUGGCUUGCUAGAGUGGGCGAGAAGUAUGCGGAAUGCGUGGUGUAGCGGUGAAAUGCAUAGAUAUCACGCAGAACUCCGAUUGCGAAGGCAGCAUACCGGCGCCCAACUGACGCUCAGGCACGAAAGCGUGGGUAUCGAACAGGAUUAGAUACCCUAGUAGUC